GGCCGGCCUCGGGGUUGAGGCUCAGCUCGGGAUAAGUGAUCUUUGGGGCCCGCAGAGGACGUCUCCCCAAGACCCAGUGGCAACCGGCUGGAACCCAAGGCUUCGGAAGAUGAGUCAGCAGCCCCAGUGGCAAAUAGGACCCAGUGGAUCCAGCCCUGCCUUGUCAAGUUCUGAAUGUUCUGGGAGGCACCAGCGUUUCUAUCUCCUGUGCCACUUCACAGAUGGCACAACAAAGCCAAGACUCCCUAAGUCAUAUUAUCAAAGUUGCUCUCUCAAGACCUUUAGUUAUGCAAGCUUCAAGGUCCUGCCCCUAUUCCUGAACCCCUGCUGCAUUUGUCUGGAUCAGCCCUCCAAGCAGUA
RNAcentral lists this long non-coding RNA (360 nucleotides) under Homo sapiens (human). Its description in RNAcentral is "USP2 antisense RNA 1". The record is from RNAcentral. Lineage: Eukaryota; Metazoa; Chordata; Mammalia; Primates; Hominidae.